UACGUAGGGUCCGAGCGUUAAUCGGAAUUACUGGGCGUAAAGCGUGCGCAGGCGGUUUUGUAAGCCAGAUGUGAAAUCCCCGGGCUUAACCUGGGAAUGGCAUUUGGGACUGCAAAGCUGGAGUACGGCAGAGGGAGGUGGAAUUCCGCGUGUAGCAGUGAAAUGCGUAGAUAUCUGCAGGAACACCCGUGGCGAAAGCGGCGCGCUGGACCACUACUGACGCUGAGGAACGAAAGCUAGGGGAGCAAACAGG
RNAcentral lists this ribosomal RNA (253 nucleotides) under uncultured bacterium. RNAcentral describes it as "partial 16S ribosomal RNA". It matches the Rfam family "Bacterial small subunit ribosomal RNA", at positions 524 to 776 of the family's 1533-position model. The record is from RNAcentral.